UACAGAGGUCCCAAGCGUUGUCCGGAAUCAUUGGGCGUAAAGCGCGUGUAGGCGGCUUGGUAAGUCCGCUCUGAAAGCCCGGGGCUCAACCCCGGGAGGCGGGUGGAUACUGUCAAGCUCGAGUCCGGAAGAGGCGAGUGGAAUUCCUGGUGUAGCGGUGAAAUGCGCAGAUAUCAGGAAGAACACCCGUGGCGAAGGCGGCUCUCUGGGACGGUACUGACGCUGAGACGCGAAAGCGUGGGGAGCGAACAGG
Molecule: ribosomal RNA, 253 nt
Filed under: uncultured bacterium
Lineage: Bacteria
Description: partial 16S ribosomal RNA
Rfam family: Bacterial small subunit ribosomal RNA
Source: RNAcentral